RNAcentral lists this ribosomal RNA (679 nucleotides) under uncultured Verrucomicrobium sp. RNAcentral's name for it is "bacterial SSU rRNA". It matches the Rfam family "Bacterial small subunit ribosomal RNA", at positions 762 to 1440 of the family's 1533-position model. Lineage: Bacteria; Pseudomonadati; Verrucomicrobiota; Verrucomicrobiia; Verrucomicrobiales; Verrucomicrobiaceae. The record is from RNAcentral.
AGGGUAGCGAAAGGGAUUAGAUACCCCUGUAGUCCUAGCAGUAAACGGUGCACGCUUGGUGUGAGGGGAAUCGACCCCCCUUGUGCCGGAGCUAACGCGUUAAGCAUGCCGCCUGGGAAGUACGGUCGCAAGACUAAAACUCAAAGAAAUUGACGGGGACCCGCACAAGCGGUGGAGUAUGUGGCUUAAUUCGAUGCAACGCGAAGAACCUUACCAAGGCUUGACAUGCAUCUCUAAACACGUGAAAGCGUGUGACCCUUCGGGGAAUUUGCACAGGUGCUGCAUGGCCGUCGUCAGCUCGUGUCGUGAGAUGUUGGGUUAAGUCCCGCAACGAGCGCAACCCUUGUGAUUAGUUGCCAGCACGUUAAGGUGGGAACUCUAGUCAGACUGCCCAGAUCAACUGGGAGGAAGGUGGGGACGACGUCAGGUCAGUAUGGCCCUUACGCCUUGGGCUGCACACGUACUACAAUGCCCAGCACAAUGAGAACCGAUACCGCGAGGUGGAGGAAAUCUGUAAAACUGGGCUCAGUUCGGAUUGGAGGCUGCAACUCGCCUCCAUGAAGUUGGAAUCGCUAGUAAUGGGGCAUCAUCUACGGCCCCGUGAAUACGUUCCCGGGUCUUGUACACACCGCCCGUCACAUCAUGGAAGCCGGUCGCACCCGAAGUGCUCGUACCAACC